CAAGAAGUAGUUUAAUUUAGAAUUCUAACUUUGGGAGUUAGUGGUAGGAGUUUGAAUCUCUUCUUUUUGA
This 70-nucleotide transfer RNA is filed under the name Kurtus gulliveri (nurseryfish). RNAcentral's name for it is "tRNA-Pro". It matches the Rfam family "tRNA". From Rfam's summary of the family: Transfer RNA (tRNA) molecules are approximately 80 nucleotides in length. Lineage: Eukaryota; Metazoa; Chordata; Actinopteri; Kurtiformes; Kurtidae. The record is from RNAcentral.